RNAcentral lists this ribosomal RNA (291 nucleotides) under uncultured bacterium. RNAcentral describes it as "partial 16S ribosomal RNA". It matches the Rfam family "Bacterial small subunit ribosomal RNA", at positions 773 to 1060 of the family's 1533-position model. The record is from RNAcentral.
GUGGAUUAGAUACCCCAGUAGUCCACGCCCUAAACGAUGUCAACUAGGUGUUGGGAGGGUAAAACCUUUUAGUACCGGAGCUAACGCGUGAAGUUGACCGCCUGGGGAGUACGGCCGCAAGGUUAAAACUCAAAGGAAUUGACGGGGACCCGCACAAGCGGUGGAUGAUGUGGAUUAAUUCGAUGCAACGCGAAAAACCUUACCUACCCUUGACAUGUCCAGAAGCUCUUAGAGAUUUGAGUGUGCCCGAAAGGGAGCUGGAACACAGGUGCUGCACGGCCGUCGUCAACU